GGUUACUGCUAUCGGGGUCCGAUUAAGCCAUGCGAGUUGAGAGGGGUAAGCCCUCGGCAUACUGCUCAGUAACACGCGGACAACCUGCCCUUGGGUCUGGGAUAACCCCGGGAAACUGGGACUAAUACCGGAUAGAUCAGAGAUACUGGAAUGUUUUCUGGUCCAAAACUCCGGUGCCCAAGGAUGGGUCUGCGGCCUAUCAGGUAGUAGUGGGUGUAACGUACCUACUAGCCAGCGACGGGUAAGGGUUGUGAGAGCAAGAUCCCUGAGAUGGAUUCUGAGACAUGAAUCCAGGCCCUACGGGGUGCAGCAGGCGCGAAAACUUUACACUGCGGGAAACCGCGAUAAGGGGACCCCGAGUGCCAGCACCUAGUGCUGGCUGUCCUACUGUCUAAAUAACAGUGGUUAGCAAGGGCCGGGCAAGACCGGUGCCAGCCGCCGCGGUAACACCGGCGGCCCGAGUGGUAACCGACUUUAUUGGGUUUAAAGGGUCCGUAGCCGGCUUACUAAGUCUUUUGGGAAAUCUGGCGGCUCAAUCGUCAGGCGUCCAAGAGAUACUGGUAGGCUUGGGACCGGGAGAGGUGGGAGGUACUCCAGGGGUAGGGGUGAAAUCUCGUAAUCCUUGGGGGACCACCGAUGGCGAAGGCAUCCCACCAGAACGGGUCCGACGGUGAGGGACGAAAGCUGGGGGCACGAACCGGAUUAGAUACCCGGGUAGUCCCAGCUGUAAACGAUGCUCGCUAGGUGUCAGGUGCGGUGCGACCGCAUCUGGUGCCGCAGUGAAAACUUGAAGCGAGUCACCUGGGAAGUACGGUCGCAAGGCUGAAGCUUAAAGGAAUUGGCGGGGGAGCACUACAACGGGUGGAGCCUGCGGUUC
This 877-nucleotide ribosomal RNA is filed under the name uncultured methanogenic archaeon. RNAcentral's name for it is "bacterial SSU rRNA". It matches the Rfam family "Archaeal small subunit ribosomal RNA", at positions 21 to 903 of the family's 1478-position model. The record is from RNAcentral. Lineage: Archaea; Methanobacteriati; Methanobacteriota.